GAUGAAGAACGUAGCGAAAUGCGAUACUUGGUGUGAAUUGCAGAAUCCCGUGAACCAUCGAGUCUUUGAACGCAAGUUGCGCCCGAAGCCAUUAGGCCGAGGGCACGCCUGCCUGGGCGUCACACGUCGUUGCCCCCCCAUCUACUCCUUCGGGAUUGCGGGGGGCGGAUGAUGGCCUCCCGUGCGCCUUGUCGCGCGGUUGGCAUAAAUACCAAGUCCUCGGCGACGCACGCCACGACAAUCGGUGGUUGCGAAACCUCGGUUGCCUGUCGUGUGCGGUCGUCGCGCAUCGAGGGCUCGAAAACAUUGUCGGGCUUCGGCUCGGCUUUCAACGCGACCCCAGGUCAGGCGGGGUUACCCGCUGAAUUUAAGCAUAUCAAUAAGCGGAGGA
Molecule: unclassified non-coding RNA, 391 nt
Filed under: soil metagenome
Description: partial contains 5.8S ribosomal RNA, internal transcribed spacer 2, and large subunit ribosomal RNA
Rfam family: 5.8S ribosomal RNA (bases 1-122)
Source: RNAcentral